GUACUGGUUUCGACGGGGAUGUUGAAGUUUGGGAAGCCAUCCGCAGACUCCGUGACUGCGUUAUCAACAUGGAACCUAAAUAUAAAUGCAGACAAUAGAAGUUUAGCAUUCGCAGCGUAAGCGCUGCUGUCGGCCCGGGAGUGCCUGCCAUCCCGGCAAACCGGCAUCAUGAAAGGCGGGGACCUCUCAUGCCGAAGCUUUGAGGCAUGGGAAAAUUUAUGAAGCUACUAAAGGCAUGAGCCUGCUGUCAGGCAUUUGCCGGAGGGAAUGAUCAAUAUGACAGCUGUGAUGGGAGAUGCCUGGAUGGAUAUGUUUUCGGACGCGGGUUCGAUUCCCGCCUGGUCCACU
RNAcentral lists this transfer-messenger RNA (348 nucleotides) under bovine gut metagenome. It matches the Rfam family "transfer-messenger RNA". From Rfam's summary of the family: Bacterial tmRNA, also known as 10Sa RNA or SsrA, is named for its dual tRNA and mRNA-like properties. Its role is to liberate the mRNA from a stalled ribosome. To accomplish this part of the tmRNA is used as a reading frame that ends in a translation stop signal. The record is from RNAcentral.